Molecule: ribosomal RNA, 611 nt
Filed under: uncultured bacterium
Lineage: Bacteria
Description: bacterial SSU rRNA
Rfam family: Bacterial small subunit ribosomal RNA
Source: RNAcentral
CCUACGGGAGGCAGCAGUAAGGAAUAUUGGUCAAUGGGCGCAAGCCUGAACCAGCCAUGCCGCGUGCAGGAAGACGGCCCUAUGGGUUGUAAACUGCUUUUGAACAAGAGAAAACCUCGGUACGUGUACCGAGCUGAUAGUAUUGUUAGAAUAAGCAUCGGCUAACUUCGUGCCAGCAGCCGCGGUAAGACGAAGGAUGCAAGCGUUAUCCGGAUUCAUUGGGUUUAAAGGGUGCGUAGGCGGCCUGAUAAGUCAGUGGUGAAAUCUCUCAGCUUAACUGAGAAACUGCCAUUGAUACUGUCGGGCUUGAGUACAGAUGAUGUGGGCGGAAUAUGACAUGUAGUGGUGAAAUACUUAGAUAUGUCAUAGAACACCGAUUGCGAAGGCAGCUCACAAAACUGUAACUGACGCUGAGGCACGAAAGUGCGGGGAUCAAACAGGAUUAGAUACCCUGGUAGUCCGCACCGUAAACGAUGAUUACUCGUUGUUGGCAAUAUGACCGUCAGCGACCAAGCGAAAGCGAUAAGAAUCCACCUGGGGAGUACGCCGGCAACGGUGAAACUCAAAGGAAUUAACGGCUUGAGGAGNGCGAGACGACACGAGGGAGGAGG